Long non-coding RNA from Musa acuminata AAA Group (dessert banana), 2263 nucleotides. RefSeq lists it as uncharacterized. The record is from RefSeq and is a predicted model, not a curated record. The transcript has 2 exons. NCBI's taxonomy places the organism in Eukaryota, Viridiplantae, Streptophyta, Magnoliopsida, Zingiberales, Musaceae.
AGUGUAGGUAAAUUGCUCAAAUAGGAAUGCAAACCAUUUUAUAGUGGUUCGAUCGUCGCGACCUACAUCUACUCCACCGAUUCCUCUUCCGUCGAUGUAAUAUCCCCUACUUUUAAAAAUAUAUUAAUAAGGAUUUAUAUGUAAAUUGGGGGACCUAUAUGUAAAUAUAGAAAUUACAAGGACUAAACUGCUAAGUUGCAAAAAGAAAAAAAAAAAAAAGAAAAGGAAAAACCGAAAAUUCGGUAUUAUCCCACCGCCUCCCACGCACUCUGUUUCUUUCCAGAAACAGAGAGAGCGGUGGGGCGUGAGGAGAAGAAGGAGAGUGGUUGAAGAAAAGAAGAAGAAGAGGGAAAAGAAGAGAGGAGGAAGAAGAGAGGAAGAAGAGAAGAAGAUGAAGAAGAAGAAGAAGAGGAGGUGGCUGCAGCGAGGGCUGCAGCGAGAAGAUGUGGGGCGUGGGGAGAAGAAGAGAGGAAGAAGAGGGAGAAGAGAAGAAGAAGAAGAAGAAGCAGAAGAAGAAGAAGAAGAAGAAGAAGAAGAGAGGAUGAUAGCUGCGGCAAGGCUGCAGCGAGGAGGUGUGUGGGGUUGGGGAGGAAAAGGGAAGAGGAGAAAAAAAGAAGAUGAAGAAGAGGGAAAAGAGAGGGAAGAGGGAGAGGAGCGAGAGGUGGCAGCAGCUAGGGCUGCAGCACCUCUGUUUCCUGCAGGUGGAAACAGAGGAGAGGUGGGGCGUUCGAAGAGGAGAAGAAGAAGAAGAAGGAAGAGAAGAGGAAGAGGAAGCAGGAGAAGAGGUUGUGAUACCUCUGUUUCCUGCAGAGGAAACAGAGGAGAGGGUGUGUGUGACGUCGGGGAGAAGAAGGGGAGGAAGAAGAAGAAGAGAAGAAGAAGAAAGGAAGGAGAGGAAGAAGAGAAGGGAAAGGAGGAGCUGCGGCUGCGGCGGUGGCAGCUGCAGCUGGAAGAGAAGGAGAGGAAGAGAUGGUGAGGAAGAAGAGAAGAAGUAGAAGCGGGUGAAGAGGCGGCACCUCUGUUUCCUGCAGGAGGAAACAGAGGAAAGGAGGUGCUGUUCGUCGGGGAGAAGAAGGGGGCUGCAGCUGCGGCGAUGGCAGCUGCAGCUGGAAGAGAAGAAGAAGAGGAAGAUGAGCAGGGGAGGAGGGAGAGGUUGCGGCCGUGGCUGCGGCCGCGACUGCAGCAGUUGCAGCGGGGAGAGAAGAAGAAGAAAGGAAGGAGAAGGAAGAGGAGAAGGGAAAGAAGUAGCUGCGGCUGCGGUUGUGGCAGCUGCAGCUGUGGCAGGGAAAGAGGAAGAGAAAAAGGAAAGGAAGAAGAAGAGAAAGGGAAGGAGAGGAAGAAGAGAGGAAGAGGAGAAGGGGCUGCGGCUGCGGCGAUGGCAGCUGCAGCUGUGGCUGGGAAAGAAGAGAAGGAAAGGAAGAAGAAGAGAAAGGGAAGGAGAGGAAGAAGAGAGGAAGAGGAGAAGGGGUGGCAGCUGCGGCAGUGGCAGCUGCAGCUGGAAGAGGAGGAGGAAAUAGAGCAGGGGAGGAAGAAGAGGCUGCGAGUGUGGUGGCUGCGGCCGUGGCUGCGACUCCGGCUGCGGCUGCGACGUUGGCUGCGGUAGCUGCGGCAGCGGUGGUGGCUGCAGUAGCUGCAGUAGCUGCUUUUGGGAAAGAGAAAGAGUAGGAACGAGAGAAGGGAAGAAGGAAAUAGUGCAGUGGAAGGGGGCUGCGGUUGUGACCGCAGUUGCGAUUGUGGCAGCGGCAGCGGCGGCGGCUGUGGCAGCUGCGUUUGGGAAAGAAAAAGAAGGAAUGAGAGUAAGAGAGAGAGCAGGUGACUGUGCCUCGAUGUUCGACACGUGAUGUAGUUACGAAGAAAGGAAGAAAACGGGAGCACAAAACGAAACAGAGAGAGGACACGGAGGAAAAGUAGAAAGAUUGGACUGGCACCUUCCUUGGAUAUUCAGAUCAAAAUAUUUGAAAGGUCAGCUUGUCACUCUUCGAGAUGUUUGAUUUGGGCUGAGGCAGUGGAUAGCUAUUCAGAAUUAUGGGCAAGUCCUGUUGGUUGUUAUGCUAUUGUUGUAUAAGCAUAUUUUGUAUGUAAUGAAUUGUUCUGAUGAUCGAAAUGGAUAUACUGUGUAAAAGUGUUAGAAGAUCUCUCUUAUUUGGAAUUUCGGAAUGUUAAGUCUAAUUUAUGACGAUAUGAACUUGUGGUGUAUAGUUAGAGUUCUGAUUGUAUAAUUUAUUUAGCUUGUGGAUUUAUAAAUGUUGUUCAUGUUUGUCAA